This 460-nucleotide ribosomal RNA is filed under the name uncultured bacterium. RNAcentral's name for it is "partial 16S ribosomal RNA". It matches the Rfam family "Bacterial small subunit ribosomal RNA", at positions 338 to 795 of the family's 1533-position model. The record is from RNAcentral.
CCUACGGGUGGCUGCAGUGAGGAAUAUUGGUCAAUGGACGAGAGUCUGAACCAGCCAAGUCGCGUGAAGGAUGACUGCCCUGUGUAUUGUAAACCUCUUUUAUAUGGGAAUAAAACAGGGUAUGCAUACCCUCUUGUAUGUACCAGAUGAAUAAGGAUCGGCUAACUCCGUGCCAGCAGCCGCGGUAAUACGGAGGAUCCGAGCGUUAUCCGGAUUUAUUGGGUUUAAAGGGGGCGUAGGUGGAUUGUUAAGUCAGUUGUGAAAGUUUGCGGCUCAACCCUAAAAUUGCAGUUGAAACUGGCAGUCUUGAGUAGAGUAGAGGUGUGCGGAAUUCGUGGUGUAGCGGUGAAAUGCUUAGAUAUCACGAAGAACUCCGAUUGCGAAGGCAGCUCACUGGUCUGCAACUGACACUGAUGCACGAAAGUGUGGGUAUCAAACAGGAUUAGAUACCCCAGUAGUC